UGGGGUGGAAAGUUCCGGCGGUGAAGGAUGACCCCGGGCCCUAUCAGCUUGUUGGUGAGGUAACGGCUCACCAAGGCGACGACGGGUAGCCGCCCUGAGAGGGCGACCGGCCACACUGGGACUGAGACACGGCCCAGAUUCCUACGGGAGGCAGCAGUGGGGAAUAUUGCACAAUGGGCGAAAGCCUGAUGCGACGACGCCACGUGAGGGAUGACGGUCUUCGGGGUGUAAACCUCUUUCAACUGGGAAGAAGCGAAGGUGACGGGACCUGCAGAAGAAGCGCCGGCUAACUACGUGCCAGCAGCCGCGGUAAUACGUAGGGCGCGAGCGUUGUCCGGAAUUAUUGGGCGUAAAGAGCUCGUAGGCGGUCUGUCGCGUCGGAUGUGAAAGCCCGGCGCUUAGCCCCGGGUCUGCAUUCGAUACGGGCAGACUAGAGUGUGGUAGGGGAGAUCGGAAUUCCUGGCGUAACGGUGAAAUGCGCACACAUCAUGAGGAACACCGGUGGCGAAAGUGGAUCUCUGGGCCAUUACUGACGCUGAGGAGCGAAAGCGUGUGGAGCGAACAUGAUUAGAUACCCUGGUAGUCCACGCCGUAAACGGUGGGAACUAGGUGUUGGCGACAUUCCACUAUGUCUGUGCCGCAUCUAACGCAUUAAGUUCUCCGCCUGGAGAGUACGGCCGCAAGGCUAAAACUCAAAGGAAUUGACGGGGGCCCGCACAAGCAGCGGAGCAUGUGGCUUAAUUCGACGCAACGCGAAGAACCUUACCAAGGCUUGACAUACACCGGAAACGGCCAGAGAUGGUCGCCCCCUUGUGGUCGGUGUACAGGUGGUGCAUGGCUGUCGUCAGCUCGUGUCGUGAGAUGUUGGGUUAAGUCCCGCAACGAGCGCAACCCUUGUUCUGUGUUGCCAGCAUGCCCUUCGGGGUGAUGGGGACUCACAGGAGACUGCCGGGGUCAACUCGGAGGAAGGUGGGGACGACGUCAAGUCAUCAUGCCCCUUAUGUCUUGGGCUGCACACGUGCUACAAUGGCAGGUACAAUGAGCUGCGAAGCCGUGAGGCGGAGCGAAUCUCAAAAAGCCUGUCUCAGUUCGGAUUGGGGUCUGCAACUCGACCCCAUGAAGUCGGAGUUGCUAGUAAUCGCAGAUCAGCAGUGCUGCGGUGAAUACGUUCCCGGGCCUUGUACACACCGCCCGUCACGUCACGAAAGUCGGUAACACCCGAAGCCG
RNAcentral lists this ribosomal RNA (1227 nucleotides) under Streptomyces sp. Its description in RNAcentral is "bacterial SSU rRNA". It matches the Rfam family "Bacterial small subunit ribosomal RNA", at positions 195 to 1429 of the family's 1533-position model. Lineage: Bacteria; Bacillati; Actinomycetota; Actinomycetes; Kitasatosporales; Streptomycetaceae. The record is from RNAcentral.